RNAcentral lists this ribosomal RNA (3020 nucleotides) under candidate division Zixibacteria bacterium HGW-Zixibacteria-1. Its description in RNAcentral is "bacterial LSU rRNA". It matches the Rfam family "Bacterial large subunit ribosomal RNA". Lineage: Bacteria; Pseudomonadati; Candidatus Zixiibacteriota. The record is from RNAcentral.
GAUCAAGUUACUAAGGGCAUAUGGUGGAUGCCUUGGCACGAGUAGGCGAUGAAGGACGUGGUAAGCUGCGAUAAGCUUCGUCUAGGCGCAAACAGCCUGUAAGACGGAGAUCUCCGAAUGGGGCAACCCAUCCCGGGUCAUACUGGGAUAUCGGCCGCUGAAUACAUAGGCGGUCGAAGCGAACGAAGGGAACUGAAACAUCUUAGUACCUUCAGGAAUAGAAAGUAAUAACGAUUCCCUGAGUAGCGGUGAGCGAAAGGGGAACAGCCCAAACCGAUUGGCGCGCUAAAGCCUGCAUGCGUUGCGCUGUCGGUGUUGUGGGAAUUGAAUGUGGCUCGAAUGCAGUUGGGCCGGGAAGUUACAAACUGUCUGUCUAGCUGAAUAAUCUGGAACGUUUAGCGAUACAGGGUGACAGCCCCGUAAGCGAAAGGCUGACAGCUUCCUAGUUUGAUCUCCCAAGUAUCACCGGUUAAGUGGAGUCCGGUGUGAAUCCGCCUGGACCAUCAGGUAAGGCUAAAUACUAACUCGUGACCGAUAGUGAACUAGUACCGUGAGGGAAAGGUGAAAAGAACCCCGGGAGGGGAGUUAAAAGAACCUGAAACCGUAUGCCUACAAGCUGUCGGAGGAAUGGUUUUUCUUCGGAGAAACCGGACUGACGGCGUGCCUAUUGAAUAAUGAUCCGACGACUUACUUCUCUGUCGCGAGGAUAAGCCAAACACUGGUGAAUCCGUAGCGAAAGCGAGUCUGAAUAGGGCGAUUAGUGGCAGGGAGUAGACCCGAAACCAGGUGAUCUAUGCAUGGCCAGGAUGAACUCUCGGUAAAACGAGAUGGAGGUCCGAACACACCAACGUUGAAGAGUUGGGUGAUGAGCUGUGCAUAGGGGUGAAAGGCCAAUCAAACCUGGAAAUAGCUGGUUCUCCUCGAAAUAGCUUUAGGGCUAGCCUCAGGCUAUAGUGUGAUGGAGGUAGAGCACUGAAUGGGUUAGGGGCCCCACAAGGUUACCAACCCCAAUCAAACUCCGAAUGCCAUCACAUGUUCCCUGGGAGUCAGGCAGUGGGGGAUAAGCUUCAUUGCCGAGAGGGAAACAACCCAGACCGCCAGCUAAGGUCCCCAAGUCAUGCUAAGUGUAAAAGGAAGUGAGAUCACUAAAACAGCUAGGAUGUUGGCUUAGAAGCAGCCAUCAUUUAAAGAAAGCGUAAUAGCUCACUAGUCUAGUGCUCUUGCGCCGAAAAUGUACGGGACUAUGCAUGGCACCGAAGCUGCGGACUUCGACUUCGGUCGAAGUGGUAGAGGAGCAUUCUGUGCUGGCUGAAGGUUGGUCGUGAGACCGGCUGGACGGCACAGAAGAGAUUAUGUCGGAACGAGUAGCGAUAAGGCGGGUGAGAAUCCCGCCCACCGAAAACCUAAGGUUUCCUGGGGAAGGGUCGUCCGCCCAGGGUUAGUCGGUUCCUAAGCCGAGGUCGAAAGGCGUAGGCGAUGGAAAACAGGUUAAAUAUUCCUGUACCGGCGGAGACGCGUUAUACCUAUGGGGUGACGCAGGAGUGACGGUCAGUCUCGUGAUGGUUUACGAGAUCUAAGCCUGUAGGUGGGAAGCGCAGGUAAAUCCACGCUUCUAACACCGAGAGGUGAUGGGGAUGGCUUCGGCCUAUAAACUGACCUUAAUCAGACUGCCAAGAAAAACCUCUAUGGAAGUUUCUCUGUCGACCGUACCGCAAACCGCCACAGGUAGGUGAGGAGAAUAUCCUAAGGUGCGCGAGCUAACCCACGUUAAGGAACUAGGCAAAAUUACCCCGUAACUUCGGGAGAAGGGGUGCCGCUAGUAUGUGAACUCACUCGCUGAGCGAGCUGAACGCGGCCACAGAGAAGAGGCGCUGAUGACUGUUUACUAAAAACACAUGUCUCUGCAAAGUCUCAUAAGACGACGUAUAGGGACUGAUACCUGCCCGGUGCUGGAAGGUUAAGAGGAGAGGUCAUUCCGUUCGCGGGAGAAGCUUUGAAUCGAAGCCCCAGUAAACGGCGGCCGUAACUAUAACGGUCCUAAGGUAGCGAAAUUCCUUGUCGGGUAAGUUCCGACCUGCACGAAUGGUAUAACAAUUGGCGCACUGUCUCAACGUGGGACUCGGUGAAACUGUAGCAGCGGUGAAGAUGCCGCUUACCCGUAUCGGGACGGAAAGACCCCGUGAACCUUUACUAUAACUUGGCAUUGAUAUUUGGUAUAGCACGUGUAGGAUAGGUGGGAGGCUAUGAAGCUGGCUCGCUAGAGUCGGUGGAGCCACCGUUGAAAUACCACCCUUGUUCUACUGGAUAUCUAACUUAAGACCUUGAAUCAGGUCAAAGAACAGUGCCAGGCGGGUAGUUUAACUGGGGCGGUUGCCUCCCAAACUGUAACGGAGGCGUGCAAAGGUUCCCUCAAGCCGCGUGGUAAUCGGCUGUAGAGUGCAAAGAUAUAAGGGAGCUUAACUGCGAGACCUACAAGUCGAGCAGAUGCGAAAGCAGGUCUUAGUGACCCGGUGGUUGCGAAUGGAAGCGCCAUCGCUCAACGGAUAAAAGGUACUCCGGGGAUAACAGGCUUAUCUCCUCCGAGAGUCCAUAUCGACGAGGAGGUUUGGCACCUCGAUGUCGGCUCAUCGCAUCCUGGGGCUGGAGAAGGUCCCAAGGGUUUGGCUGUUCGCCAAUUAAAGCGGUACGUGAGCUGGGUUUAGAACGUCGUGAGACAGUUCGGUCCCUAUCUGAUACGGGCGUAGGAUACUUGAGGGGAGCUGACCUUAGUACGAGAGGACCAGGUUGGACCGACCGCCGGUGCACCUGUUGUCACGCCAGUGGCAUAGCAGGGUAGCUGCGUCGGGAAGGGAUAAGCGCUGAAAGCAUAUAAGCGCCAAGCCCACCCCAAGAUUAGGUAUCCCAUCGCGUAAGCGAUCUGAAGGCUCCUGGAAGAACACCAGGUUGAUAGGUCACAGAUGUAAGCACCGUAAGGUGUUGAGUCGAGUGAUACUAAUAAGCCGUGAGGCUUGAUCGAAUAA